This 107-nucleotide small nuclear RNA is filed under the name Numida meleagris (helmeted guineafowl). Lineage: Eukaryota; Metazoa; Chordata; Aves; Galliformes; Numididae. The record is from RNAcentral.
GUGUUUGCUUUGGCAGCACAUACACUAAAAUUGGAACAAUACAGAGAAGAUUAGCAUGUCCCCUGCACAAUGAUGACAUGCAAAUUUGUGAAGCAUUUCAUACUUUU